Molecule: ribosomal RNA, 253 nt
Filed under: uncultured bacterium
Lineage: Bacteria
Description: partial 16S ribosomal RNA
Rfam family: Bacterial small subunit ribosomal RNA
Source: RNAcentral
GACGAACCGUGCAAACGUUGUUCGGAAUCACUGGGCUUAAAGGGCGCGUAGACGGGCUCUCAAGUCGGGGGUGAAAUCGUUCGGCCCAACCGGACAAGGGCUUCCGAUACUGAGAGUCUCGAGGGAGGUAGGGGUCGAGGGAACUGGUGGUGGAGCGGUGAAAUGCGUAGAUAUCUGGAGGAACACCGGUGGCGAAGGCGGCAUCCUGGACCGGUAUUGACGCUGAGGCGCGAAAGCUAGGGGAGCAAACGGG